Equus caballus (horse) is the source of this 4894-nucleotide non-coding RNA. NCBI's taxonomy places the organism in Eukaryota, Metazoa, Chordata, Mammalia, Perissodactyla, Equidae. The record is from RefSeq and is a predicted model, not a curated record.
AAAGAGAGGAGUGGCAGCAGGUGUUAGCUCAGGGCUAAUCUUCCUCAAAAAAAAAAAAAAUUCAGAUUUCCAGCAUCUCUUAAAAUGUUAGGUGAGGUGGCAGCGUUGGGCCUGCACUUUCACAGUGGCAACAAUUGGUAGAGCUGAACAGCAAGUGCCCUUUAGUCAAACAAACACAAACUCUCUUGCUUGCCUCAGUCCCCACCACUCCCUACUGUCACACAGAGGUCAAGAAACAGCCACUAUUCAUCAUUGGCUCUGUGCUUGCUUUUCUUCCUGGAGGGUUAAGUGGUAAAUAAGACCUUUCUCAUGUGACAUCUCUUUCGAGAGUGGGAAAGGAAAAGAUGCACCGGGAUGGCUCUGGGCCUCGAGAAACCAGCCCACCUUCCUCCUUCAUCGAGGUUACCGCCUGACACUGGGUGCACGGCCGCUGCCUCCAGAGUAGAGAGCGAGCUCUAGAAGGGGAGAGACGGGGAAGAAGCUGGGGGGUGGGAAGGCAGGGUUUAAACUUUAUCUAUAGCGAUUUGUUUUUCUUUUUAAGGGCGAUCUGGAUCAAAUAAGGCAAAAUUUUUCCCUUUGUUAAAUCUGGAUGAUGGGAACAUAGGCAUAUUCUGACCUCUGCUAUAUGUUUACCAUGUUUCCUAUUAAAAAUGUCAGAAUCGAAAAGGAAACUGCUCAGCGUCCUCAGUGGGGCGGCGCCGAGCGGGGGGCUGGGGGGAGGGUCAGGAAGGCGGCCCACGGAGCGGGGGCGGCUGGGCCUCGAAGACUGGGAGGCUCUGACUCGAGGAGUGGAGGGCGCUGGGUCCAGGUCUCCAGGGAAGCGGCAAGCAGGGCCAGGGAGGAGGGGCCGAGCUGAAAGAGGGCAUUCUGGGGAGGCUGGGGAGGGGUGUGGGGAGGGGCUCAUGGGGUGGGGUGGGGACACCCUGACACCUGGCCGCCCUCGCCCCCCAGGCCCACCCUUGGCUCUGCGCGGACCGGCAGUGUUUCUAAGGAUGCGGGCCUAUUUUUAGAGCAGAGAUUUAUUUCUUUCCAUUUCAACUGUUUACUUCUGUCCUGGGCUUGCGAAUCUGCCGGUUUGUGUUACAGGAGAACCACGCCCCGUGGACGGAACCUGGCGGCCUCCUGCUUGCAGCACACCAUCUGGGGUGUGAGUAGGGAGGGUCUGACGAUUCUGUGGAGUCUGGUGGGAAGCCAUGCCGUGUGACAGCAAGUCCCAGGUUCUCGUCCUGGGUCUGCUGCUGACUUGCUGUGUGACCCUGAACAAGUCCUUUCCCUUUUCCGGGCUUCAGAGUUUUUGUUGUUUUGAUUUUUCACCACUAAAGUGGUGGUAACAAUACUUACCUCAAAGCGUUGGAACAACACGCGCGGGGACCCGUCAAUCAGGGUUUCUCCGCCCACGCCAAGUCUGUACGCACAGGGGCCAGGGGUGGGGGGGGUUUCACCGCGGCUCAGGGUCCUUCCAGCUCUGAGAUCCCACAGUUCCAGGUUUUCCCCUCCAUCGUUUCUUCCUGCAGGUCAUGGCUCCUUGUUGUCAGAACUCUUGACACAUUCUGGGCCAAGAGGGGCAGGUCUGCCUGGAUUUUGUCCAUCACCUACUAGCUGUGUGACUCUGGGGACCCGUCUCCUUUCCUUGGAACAACUUUAACCCUGGCCUGUGGGGAUCGGACCCAUAGGGGCCUGUGGAGAUUGUAUGAGACGCUGCCCACAGAGCACGGCAUGGCGCCUGGCAUGCAGGAAGACCUGAGGAGGGGAGAGAAAGGAGUCUUUGAAAAUGUCCAUUUUGAAACCACAAUGGAACAAGAAUCCCAGGUCUCGGAUUGCCCACCUUGCUCCCCAGUCCAAACGCACGUCCACCUCGUCCUGCCAGAGUGGGAGGCGCACACACGUUGGAGCCUGUUUGAGAUCUGAGUCUCUGCACCUGCUCCCGUGAGGCUGCGCAAGUCAGUCAGCUCCCUGCUUCUCCAUCCCUCCGCGGACACAAGCGCACCUUCUCCUUAAUCACCUGUGAGCAGGGCUCCGGGGUGCUGCCGGGUGAGAGGUGCAGGGGCCCUGGGAAUCUGCUGCUGGGCCAGGUGCCCUGACAGCUGCGGUGGGGGCGCUGUGGGAGCUCUUGGCCCAUUUAGAAAUGAAACAAGCUCCCACCCUGGGUUCCGACAGGGCUCCGCCAUCAGCCCCUCCCCACUCCCGGGUUGGAUGCUUGGCUCUGACCUGUCACCACCCACCCAAUUUGCAGCCACAGCCUAAUUUAAAUUCAUUCCCACCUGGCAGCUCAGAGCAGCUCAACAGCCCAAAGGCCAGACGCAGCGGGCCCUGUGGGGCCCCGGGGGUCUGCGUCUCUCUGCCCUGGGAACGGGAGACUGUGCAGUAUGUGCACUAUGGCAGAAGGGCUGCGGAGAGGCCCGGGGCCCUUCCUCAUCUUCGGGAAGGAACUCUCCCACCCCUGGCUGGGCAGGAUGACGGGCUCCUGUGUGAGCCCCUUCUACCUCUCACUGGCUCCCCGGAACCUCCUCCCGGCCAUCUGUCCUCAGUCGGCAAGCCCCCCGAGUCACUGCACGUCGAGGGCCCCUGGACCUACUGAGAAAAGUCCGAACUCUUCAGCCCGCCUUGCCCCCCACCUGUCCCCAUUAUCUGCUCCAAACCCCUUUCCAGCUCCUCUAACCCUCCACAGACACCACACGAUGUCCCGGCCCCAGUUACCUUCCAGGCACGAGACUUUGCUGAUGGCCUCCAUUCGGCCAAGAAUCCUUUCUUUUUAUUCUUGGCUUAGAAAACCUCAGGGCCCAGUUCCACUCUCACCUGCUCUUGGAAGCCUGCCACCAGUAAGGAUUCACCCUGUCCCUGCGCUCCUGUCGGCCCCUUUAGGAAGGAGUCGGUCAGGCCUGCUGCCCCUCGGACCGAGCAUCUGGCGGGCAGAGUGCCAGCAGGCUGCCCUGUUGGUGGCAGCGCAGGGCCUGUGCUGGCAGGGAACGGAGCAUGUCUGUGGGAUUGACUAGAAGUAGCUACAUGCCCCUGCUGUUCUCACUCUUUAAAGCUGUUUGUUCUUGUAAUUCUGCGCGACAGUGAUCCAGGAUAGAAUUAGAACAGGAUAAUGUUGCAGCGAAAGGCUGGGAGCUUGAUCGUUUCUUGCCUAUGUCGCUUAUUUUUACUGAAACCCAGGCUACUGGGGAGCAACCCAAGGUCCUCCCACCAGCGCUGCCUUCUCAUCCACCUGAGCAGCCUCAUUGCGGGGGCAGGGGGAAGUGGUGAACAGCAAGAUGAGGACACACUGCUGGAGGGAUUUGUCAUUCUAUGGGGCCUAGGACCUGGGACCCCAGUCGAGGAUUCUGGGUUAUCUAGAAAGAAGCCAUUUAAUUGCAUCUGGAGAUAAGAUCAGGUUAUAAGCUCAUGGAAGCUCAGCCCUGAAAGGGACCAACCAAUGCCAUCAUUUCAUGACCUAGGGAAGGACAGCAACUGGCCCAGGGUCACAUGGAGUGGAAGGGACAGGGCCAAGGCUGAACUGGACCUCUGACCUCUAGUCCUGCAUUUUUUCCUGCUAACCUCCUCUCCCUCUACAUGAGCUACAAUCACUCAAAGGCUAGCGAAAUGGUAGAGCUAUGUUCCUUUCUUUACGGAUGACUGUUAAACUAGAGUUGAGCAACGAUAGGUCAAAAAAAAAGUGUGAAAUGUUCCAUUUUUAAUUAAAAAAUAUAUCAAAUGGAAAAUUCACUGAAUUCACUGACAUUCAUUACCUACCUUCUCUGUGCUGGGCAUUGACCUGGGUACCUGGGAUAUAGAUAUAGGAUGAAGGCCCCGUCUAGUAGGACCCAGGAGUCCCACCCUCAGCCCUGCUAACGGCUCCAGAGUGGCUGGCCAACCACAGACGUGACCAGGGAGCCUCCUGCCUCUUGAUGCUGUGGUCCUGACUGCAGAGGCAAAUUCGGAGCAUUAAACACACUUAUUAAACGUGCCAACUAGGAGAUGCAAUGAUAAAAACAUCAAACAGGUGAAAGGGAUCCUUCUGGUCCUUUAUUUCUCAGUCAAUUCAUUCCAUGACACAUUGGCCACCCUCUGAAGCAGCUGGCUAGACAGCAGGGUGGAGUGGGCGAUUCCCUGCAGGGCUGGGGCACGUUCUCCAGGGGGCUGUGUCUGCUCUGAACCAGUGUCCAGUAGACGGUGCUGCUUCCCCCAUAGCCAGGACUCACAGUUCCAGGAUUCAAGGGUGGAAGUGGGAGUGGCACCGCCCACUAUUACCCGUCAUGACCCACGGGCAAAAUGUUCACUGCCUGUUCCUGUGACCUUAUGCUCUGCUGGCCUAGAGGUCUUAGUUCCAGAGGAAGGAAUGCUUCCACCAGGAGACACAGCAAUGAUUCCAUUGGACUGGAAGUUAAGACUGCCACCCAGCCACUUUGGGCUUCUCAUGCCUCUGAAUCAAUGGGCAGAGAAGGUAUUUCUGUCCUGAGUGGGGUGAUUGAUCCUGAUUACCAAGGGGAAACUGGACUGUUGCUGCGCGAUGGAGGUGAGAAGGCGUGUGUCUGCAAUCUAAGAGAGUCCUCAGGGCUUUCUCAGUGUCACUGUGCCCUGCGAUUAAUGUCAAUGGAAAACUACAAGAACCCAGUCCAGCAGGACUACUGACUCAGUGGCCCAGGCCCUUCCAGAACAAAGGUGUAGCUCGUCCUACCUGGGAAAACACCACAACCAGCUGAGAUGCUGCUGGGGGCAAAGGGAAUACAGACUGGGUAGAUGUAAAUAUCACUAUGGCCAUGGGACCAGUCAGAGAAACAAGGACUGUAACUGUCGCAGAGUAUUUCCUCCUUAUUUUGUUAUGAAUGUGUUUGUGUGUACGUGUGUAUUAAGCAAAUAUCUUUGUUUUCUUCUCCUAUUCUCCUAUCAUGUAACAUAAGAUAUAUUGAUUUUA